Molecule: ribosomal RNA, 544 nt
Filed under: Candidatus Carsonella ruddii
Lineage: Bacteria; Pseudomonadati; Pseudomonadota; Gammaproteobacteria; Oceanospirillales; Halomonadaceae
Description: partial 16S ribosomal RNA
Rfam family: Bacterial small subunit ribosomal RNA
Source: RNAcentral
GUCGCGUGUGUGAAGAAGGCCUUAGGGUUGUAAAACACUUUCAAUAAAGAAAGAAGAAGUAAAAAAAUAAAAUUUUUUUAUUUUUGACGAUAUUUAUAAAAGAAGCACCGGCUAACUUCGUGCCAGCAGCCGCGGUAAUACGAGGGGUGCUAGCGUUAAUCAAAUUUACUGGGCGUAAAGGGUGUGUAGGUUGUUAAUUUAAAUUAAUUGUUAAAUUUAUUAAGAAAAAACUUAAUAAAAUAGUUAAUACUAAUUUUCUAGAGUAUAAAAGAAGUAAAUAGAAUUCUAAAAGUAGCAGUGAAAUGCUUAGAUAUUUAGAAGAAUACUAAUGGCGAAGGCAUUUUUCUAUUUUAUACUGACGCUGAUACACGAAAGCAUGGGUAGCAAACAGGAUUAGAUACCCUGGUAGUCCAUGCAGUAAACGUUGUCAACUAUUUAUUAAAUAACAUAUUAUAUAAAAAAAUUUUUAUGAUAAAAAUAUUUAUGUAAAUUUAGUGAAAAAGCUAACGCGUUAAGUUGACCGCCUGGGGAUUACGACCGCAAG